Molecule: small nuclear RNA, 128 nt
Organism: Oryctolagus cuniculus (rabbit)
Lineage: Eukaryota; Metazoa; Chordata; Mammalia; Lagomorpha; Leporidae
Gene: U2
Rfam family: U2 spliceosomal RNA
About the family: U2 is a small nuclear RNA (snRNA) component of the spliceosome (involved in pre-mRNA splicing). Complementary binding between U2 snRNA (in an area lying towards the 5' end but 3' to hairpin I) and the branchpoint sequence (BPS) of the intron results the bulging out of an unpaired adenosine, on the BPS, which initiates a nucleophilic attack at the intronic 5' splice site, thus starting the first of two transesterification reactions that mediate splicing.
Source: Ensembl
AUUGCUUCUUGGCCUUUUGGCUAAGAUCAAGUAUAUUAAAUAAUUCAUUUUCCAAAGUGGGUGUAACAAUUUAUACUCUUACCGGUGGUAUGUAAGAAUUCCAUUAGUCUACCAUGAUUGCUAUUGUC